UUUUUAGUAUAAAUAUAUCCCAUGCAAUAUUUGGGACAUAUUUACACUAUAA
Molecule: microRNA precursor, 52 nt
Filed under: Canis lupus familiaris (dog)
Lineage: Eukaryota; Metazoa; Chordata; Mammalia; Carnivora; Canidae
Also listed under: 1 other name
Description: mir-1302 microRNA precursor family
Rfam family: mir-1302 microRNA precursor family
Source: Rfam by way of RNAcentral